GACGAACCGUGCUAACGUUGUUCGGAAUCACUGGGCUUAAAGGGCGCGUAGGCGGCUUCCCAAGUCCGGGGUGAAAUCUUUCGGCUUAACCGGAAAAGUGCCUUGGAUACUGGGAGGCUCGAGGGAGGUAGGGGCAAGCGGAACUUCCGGUGGAGCGGUGAAAUGCGUUGAUAUCGGAAGGAACGCCGGCGGCGAAAGCGGCUUGCUGGACCUCAUCUGACGCUGAUGCGCGAAAGCUAGGGGAGCGAACGGG
Molecule: ribosomal RNA, 253 nt
Filed under: uncultured bacterium
Lineage: Bacteria
Description: partial 16S ribosomal RNA
Rfam family: Bacterial small subunit ribosomal RNA
Source: RNAcentral